UUAUAAAUUUAAAUGUAAGUUAAUGUACUGGAAGGCAUUCCUGCCUAUGGCAGAGGGUUUGGAACUAGAUGAUCUUCAACAUCCUUUCCAACCCAAACCAUUCCAUGAUUCUAUGAAAA
This is a long non-coding RNA of Corapipo altera (White-ruffed manakin), 119 nucleotides long. RefSeq lists it as uncharacterized. The record is from RefSeq and is a predicted model, not a curated record. NCBI's taxonomy places the organism in Eukaryota, Metazoa, Chordata, Aves, Passeriformes, Pipridae. The transcript is spliced from 3 exons.